Molecule: non-coding RNA, 83 nt
Filed under: Halanaerobium kushneri
Lineage: Bacteria; Bacillati; Bacillota; Clostridia; Halanaerobiales; Halanaerobiaceae
Description: Glycine sequence
Rfam family: Glycine riboswitch aptamer
About the family: This family represents the bacterial glycine riboswitch. Glycine riboswitches usually consist of two metabolite-binding aptamers domains with similar structures in tandem.
Source: RNAcentral
GUGAAGGCUGAAUGAGAGACCAUAGUGGCGCCGAAGGAGCAAGGGGAACCGAAACUCUCAGGCAAAAAGAAUUCAGCUGGACG